AUUGAACGCUGGCGGCAGGCUUAACACAUGCAAGUCGAGCGGGGGAAGGUAGCUUGCUACCGGACCUAGCGGCGGACGGGUGAGUAAUGCUUAGGAAUCUGCCUAUUAGUGGGGGACAACAUCUCGAAAGGGAUGCUAAUACCGCAUACGUCCUACGGGAGAAAGCAGGGGGUCUUCGGGCCUUGCGCUAAUAGAUGAGCCUAAGUCGGAUUAGCUAGUUGGUGGGGUAAAGGCCUACCAAGGCGACGAUCUGUAGCGGGUCUGGGAGGAUGAUCCGCCACACUGGGACUGAGACACGGCCCAGACGCCUACGGGAGGCAGCAGUGGGGAAUAUUGGACAAUGGGGGGAACCCUGAUCCAGCCAUGCCGCGUGUGUGAAGAAGGCCUUAUGGUUGUAAAGCACUUUAAGCGAGGAGGAGGCUACUUUAGUUAAUACCUAGAGAUAGUGGACGUUACUCGCAGAAUAAGCACCGGCUAACUCUGUGCCAGCCGCCGCCGUAA
Molecule: ribosomal RNA, 501 nt
Filed under: uncultured bacterium
Lineage: Bacteria
Description: partial 16S ribosomal RNA
Rfam family: Bacterial small subunit ribosomal RNA
Source: RNAcentral